CUAGAGUGGCCGGGCCGUGGUGUUCGGGAAGACCGGUGCAGGACCUCGUGUCCCAGGCCGGCGCGGCCCUCGCCACUGUGAUCGGGGAGUUUCCGUCCCUCUCCGUCCGCGCCCUGCGCGCGGACGGGGGCCACUGACCGCAGCCUGCGGCCGGGAAGGCGGGGCGGACGCGUGCACCCGUAAGCCAGGAGACCGGCCACGGCAUCUCACGAAAU
This 215-nucleotide non-coding RNA is filed under the name Streptomyces sp. Lineage: Bacteria; Bacillati; Actinomycetota; Actinomycetes; Kitasatosporales; Streptomycetaceae. RNAcentral also lists the same sequence under 1 other name. The record is from RNAcentral.